UUGAUGCAGGUCCUGGAGCAAAGUAGGUUCAUGGAAGGGGUUUUCCAUAGACAGCAAGCUGGGCAGAAGAAUCUGCCUCUGCUGAGUAGGUCCCUGGGUGAGCAGCUGCCCACGUCAACAGGAGCAGGCUGCCUGGGCAUUGGGUCAGAACACUGACCCUGUUCCCAAUGGGGAUAGGAGUCACAAGGGUUCUUAGAAAAGAGGAGACUAAGAGCUCAGCUGCAUCCUGAACUAAAACCCACCUCCUGACCACACAGUGAUGAGUGAAUCCUGGGGGACCAAUUUGGGAGAGAAGACUGGCUGAUCUGAUCCUGCACUUUCUCCUCGCGUCACAAGAUCUCCCACCCCUGCCACUGGCCGAUCAGACCUGUGCAGCCUGCAGCCCUGCAAGAAUUUGAUGGGGACUGUGCCUGCCUGCUUCCCACAUGCUGUCCGUAUCGCAGGAGGGGAACUCCAUCCUGGCUGAAGGUAGGUGCCCCACCAUGGUCUCAGCAAGGGAAGGACAGUCUGGGCCAGGAAGGCUGGAAAAGGUGGAGGGGGUGCUCGCCUAUGCAGCAGGGCCUGUGGACAGAGGCCAGAGUAUGGAAGUAUGGACAUGGGCCUCAGAGAGACCCUGUCCAGUGGAGAGAUGGGCCUGUGCAUGUGGGGUGAACAGCAGUAGCUCAGAGGAAGAACUGCCUCACUGAGAACAGGAGGGUGGCAGAGCUGAGGAUGUUACAUGGUGCCUCACAUGACCACCCCAGCACUGAGACAGCAGGGGCCAUUUCUGGAAAAGGAAGGAAGUUUCUGGCUGGGUACAGACUGCAGGAAGGGCCCCAUCAUGUGCUCAGAGGUCAGCGUCCUGGGCCAGCAACCAGCCGGUACAGGACACUCAUAGAAGGAACUCCAUGCCAGGCACCACCAUCUCUCUCCUCUGCUUGCCACACCACCCCACUCUCUUCUCAACAGCAGCAGGUGCCUUGGUCACCUGCAGAGGUGGCUGUCUCUCGGUCCCUGUCCUACUCUCAGUGCUGGAAAGCCUCCUUGGACACACAGAGUAAAGCACCAGGGUCCAUGCUACUUCCUGUGCUUGGCCUCAGACAUUCACCCAUAGCGUCAGGAGCCUGGCCUCGUCUCUUACUUUUGAGGUGACCCUCUUUGGGAGGACUUCCCUGACCACCCCCAGCCCCAUCAGCCAUAGGAGGUACAAAUCGUAGAGUGAGGGUCUGAGGAAGGAAGAGGCAUCCUGCCCUGUACAGACCAUUCCAUCCCAGGGAGGGGUGGGCAGGGGCUCUGGCCCUGUGGAGCAGUCUCUAUGGCUUUGGGGAUUUAGGUACAGAGCUCACAGAGGCUGCCUCUUGGGUGGCCUGGUCCUUCCAACAAUAGUUCUGAGGACAGGGCCUGGGCCCCAGGCUUCAUGGAGGAGGAGCAGGUGAUCGUCAGUUCCCCCGCCACUUGCUCUGGCCUGCAGGUGAAGUCCUCCUUCAGUGCUCCUCUGAGACACACUUGCAGGGCAGGGGCACUGCCCUGAGCUCAGUGCAAACAUGAGAGGUGGAGGAGGGUGUUAGCAAGGACCCAGAGGGGACAGCUGACAUUUUCAUUCUAGGAAAUACAUCCCUGUCCCUCACCAUGGCAUUUGGGGCUUGGCUGUCCAUUACCGGGGCUCAGAAUACUCUGGCAAAGUGUUUUGAUAUUGAAGUACUGUGGACUCAGAGAGACAGGAGCCUCCGUGGAGCACCAGGUCUCUGCAACCCUCUUGCCCACUUCUUCCCACCCUCUUUCUCUCAGUGGCAGGAUACAAAACAGAGCCACUCUCAGAAGGCAGCCAUAAGACUCACAUCACCUAGCCCCAUACCCACCCCAGUAGAAGGUGGCCCUCUGACCCACCCUGUCUGAGAGUAAAGGUCCUAAGACCCUCAUUGCUAAGGGUCCUGCCCUAGAGUCACCCAGGGGGAAGGGUGAACCAAGAAGAAUCUGCACAGACUUUCUGGGGCCCUUCAGUCCAUCACCACAAGGUCACAUUUUUGUCCAGUCAUAUGUCUACCCAGCUGUCUAUGUUUCACCAAACCUAAGCAUAAAACCCACUUCUCCCUGGGCCUUUGGGUCCUGGUUUCUGAAGUCUCGCUGGAUGAGUAAAAUGUUGUAACUCUG
Chinchilla lanigera (long-tailed chinchilla) is the source of this 2130-nucleotide long non-coding RNA. RefSeq lists it as uncharacterized. The record is from RefSeq and is a predicted model, not a curated record. Lineage: Eukaryota; Metazoa; Chordata; Mammalia; Rodentia; Chinchillidae. The transcript has 2 exons.